GCAACAUUAAGACCGGCUGGGUAGAGAUAGUUGGAUUUGCAUUUGUAGAUCUUAAAAAGUUAUUUAAGAUUGGUAAUUCUUUCCGUUCUGUGUAUUCUGUGUUCCGUAUUUGAAAUCGAUAAGUCGAGAAAAAUAAAUCCAUUGAAAUGGGAGCUGAUCGCAACAGUGAGCCCGAACAGUUUCGGAAACUUUUUAUUGGUGGUCUGAAUUACAAAACCACUGAAGAAACAUUGAAAGGCCACUUUGAACAAUGGGGAGAAAUUGUUGACUGUGUAGUUAUGAGGGAUCCUAAUACUAGAAGAUCCAGAGGAUUUGGUUUCAUUACAUACAAGAAUGCUUAUAUGGUUGAUGAUGCACAAGCAGCUAGACCUCAUAAAGUUGAUGGUCGUGAAGUGGAACCCAAACGAGCUGUUCCAAGAGAAGAUUCUGGAAAACCAGAAGCACAAGUAACUGUAAAGAAGUUAUUUGUGGGUGCUUUAAAGGACGAUAUUGAAGAAGAAGAUUUAAAAAACUAUUUUGGAGAAUAUGGCAAUAUAACAAAUGUUAAUGUUGUAGUGGAUAAAGCUACAGGAAAGAAAAGAGGUUUCGCAUUUGUGGAAUUUGAUGAUUACGAUCCCGUUGACAAAAUAGUGUUAAAAAAACAUAUGAUAAAAGGGAGACGGGCUGAAGUUAAAAAGGCUCUUUCAAGACAAGAAAUGGAUCAUAUUAAAAGAACAAAAGAAAUGAAAUCUUAUGGUGGCGGUGGCAGAGGUGAUUGGAAAUCUGGUGGUAGUGGAUAUGGUGGUAGUUCAUCAGGAGGUUACAAAGGAGGUUAUGGUGGCAGUAGUGGUGGAGGAGGAUAUGGUGGUAGCAGUUACAACAAUGGACCCAGUGCUUGGAGUGAUGGUAUGGGAUAUGCAAAUGACUAUUCAACUUCUGAUUACAUGUCUGGUUCUUCUGCCAGUGGAGGUUGGGGUACUGAUUUUGGAUCAAGUUAUUCGUCCGGUGGGCCAAUACGAAGUUCAAGCGGAUAUUCUAGCAGAAGUUCCGGACCGUAUGGGGGUGGUUAUGGAACUGGUGGUGGUAGUGGAGGAUAUGGAGGCUAUCGUCGAUAAAUGUGCAUUUUUAAAAUCUUGGAAUGUUUUUAUGAAAACCAGCAUGGAGUAACGAAUGAAUUUCUUCUGUUGGAUUCUUGCAUUUCAAGUGAUGGAUAGUGCAAUGUGUGGUAGAGAGAUGUGCUUUUGUUAAAUGGGCCAGGGCUUUGCAAGUCAUAUUUUAUGAAGAUAUCUGAUUCUGAAAAUAAGGGUGUGAAAAGAUGCUAAGUCUCUGAAGUGAUGUGCACAUUGUUCCCUGAAUCAAAGGAUUUUACCUUGGGUUGAUUUACAUGCAAGUUGGGAGCUUGCAUUAAGUUUUUUUUCUUUCAACAAAACUUUUAAAUCUUUCUAUUUUAGUAUUUAUUGCUCUUGUAUUAUUCUUAUGAUACAUAAUAAAAAGAAAAUUGGCAACUA
Molecule: unclassified non-coding RNA, 1487 nt
Filed under: Stegodyphus dumicola
Lineage: Eukaryota; Metazoa; Arthropoda; Arachnida; Araneae; Eresidae
Description: heterogeneous nuclear ribonucleoprotein A1, A2/B1 homolog, transcript variant X1
Source: RNAcentral